UGACCCGUCUCACUGGGACUGAGACACUGCCCAGACACCUACGGGUGGCUGCAGUCGAGAAUCUUCGGCAAUGGGCGAAAAGCCUGACCGAGCGAUGCCGCGUGCGGGAUGAAGGCCCUCGGGUUGUAAACCGCUGUCGUAGGGGAGGAAGGUUCCGUGAAGAGCGGAAUUUGACCUAUCCUAGGAGGAAGUACGGGCUAAGUUCGUGCCAGCAGCCGCGGUAACACGAACCGUACGAACGUUAUUCGGAAUUACUGGGCUUAAAGGGUUUGUAGGCGGCCUUGUAAGUCAGGUGUGAAAGCCCUCGGCUCAACCGAGGAACAGCGCUUGAUACUGCAAGGCUUGAGGGAGACAGGGGUAAGCGGAACUGAUGGUGGAGCGGUGAAAUGCGUUGAUAUCAUCAGGAACACCGGUGGCGAAAGCGGCUUACUGGGUCUCUUCUGACGCUGAGGAACGAAAGCUAGGGUAGCGAACGGGAUUAGAUACCCCGGUAGUCCUAGCUGUAAACGAUGAGCACUUAUCU
This 523-nucleotide ribosomal RNA is filed under the name uncultured bacterium. Its description in RNAcentral is "bacterial SSU rRNA". It matches the Rfam family "Bacterial small subunit ribosomal RNA", at positions 301 to 822 of the family's 1533-position model. The record is from RNAcentral.